UCGGGCUUUGCCUGGUGGUGAGAGUGGCGAACGGGUGAGUAAUGCGUGACCGACCUGCCCCAUGCACCGGAAUAGCUCCUGGAAACGGGUGGUAAUGCCGGAUGCUCCAUCACACCGCAUGGUGUGUUGGGAAAGCCUUUGCGGCAUGGGAUGGGGUCGCGUCCUAUCAGCUUGAUGGCGGGGUAACGGCCCACCAUGGCUUCGACGGGUAGCCGGCCUGAGAGGGCGACCGGCCACAUUGGGACUGAGAUACGGCCCAGACUCCUACGGGAGGCAGCAGUGGGGAAUAUUGCACAAUGGGCGCAAGCCUGAUGCAGCGACGCCGCGUGAGGGAUGGAGGCCUUCGGGUUGUAAACCUCUUUUGUUAGGGAGCAAGGCACUUUGUGUUGAGUGUACCUUUCGAAUAAGCACCGGCUAACUACGUGCCAGCAGCCGCGGUAAUACGUAGGGUGCAAGCGUUAUCCGGAAUUAUUGGGCGUAAAGGGCUCGUAGGCGGUUCGUCGCGUCCGGUGUGAAAGUCCAUCGCUUAACGGUGGAUCCGCGCCGGGUACGGGCGGGCUUGAGUGCGGUAGGGGAGACUGGAAUUCCCGGUGUAACGGUGGAAUGUGUAGAUAUCGGGAAGAACACCAAUGGCGAAGGCAGGUCUCUGGGCCGUUACUGACGCUGAGGAGCGAAAGCGUGGGGAGCGAACAGGAUUAGAUACCCUGGUAGUCCACGCCGUAAACGGUGGAUGCUGGAUGUGGGGCCCGUUCCACGGGUUCCGUGUCGGAGCUAACGCGUUAAGCAUCCCGCCUGGGGAGUACGGCCGCAAGGCUAAAACU
Molecule: ribosomal RNA, 821 nt
Filed under: Bifidobacterium sp. HGAT10
Lineage: Bacteria; Bacillati; Actinomycetota; Actinomycetes; Bifidobacteriales; Bifidobacteriaceae
Description: bacterial SSU rRNA
Rfam family: Bacterial small subunit ribosomal RNA
Source: RNAcentral